Dermacentor andersoni is the source of this 575-nucleotide long non-coding RNA. RefSeq lists it as uncharacterized. NCBI's taxonomy places the organism in Eukaryota, Metazoa, Arthropoda, Arachnida, Ixodida, Ixodidae. The record is from RefSeq and is a predicted model, not a curated record.
UCUGGCAACAAUCGCACCCCAACAGCUGAGAGCAUGUCGCACGGCUGAAAACCAGGAAAAUUUGCGCCGUUAUUUGUCCCCUGUUCUUUGUUUCCUAGUGCUUUAUUGGUGGUUCACGUUUCCGGUGGUUAAUCGCGGUUAUUAUGGGUGAUUUUGUCCAUGUGUAUAUAUUGACCGAGUCGAAUUGACUUCGAAGGAGGCCACAGAUGGAAUGGCCGACGGGCAGUUUUGUUUACCUUCAAGAUUCAAGAUUGAUUGGGGCUGAAAUUUUUCUGAAAGCAACAACAGGACAGGAAAUACGGGAUGUGGGCUUUGGAAGGACCAGUUGCUGAAAAAAAUCAAUGUCUGUGCUGCAAAGCAAGGCUUGCGGCAGACUUGAAAGCAUCGAUAGAUACGGUGCCUGCCCUGUUGGAAUUGCACCAGCCUGCUUCCCUGAAAAAACCUAGGUGCACAAGAAUUACUUGACUAACCUGCCCGGUAUAAUUCUGGAGGCCGUUUGAUAACUGGCCACUUCCUCGUUGGGCUCGGAUGUUCGCAGGCAUGAUAAGCUAAUUAAACUGAAUAUUUUUAAGAAA